RNAcentral lists this ribosomal RNA (300 nucleotides) under uncultured Lactobacillus sp. Its description in RNAcentral is "bacterial SSU rRNA". It matches the Rfam family "Bacterial small subunit ribosomal RNA", at positions 496 to 795 of the family's 1533-position model. Lineage: Bacteria; Bacillati; Bacillota; Bacilli; Lactobacillales; Lactobacillaceae. The record is from RNAcentral.
GCCAAGGCCGUGCGCUGGGGCGUGGUAAUCCGUAGUGUGGGAGAGUUGGCCGGAAUUAUUGGGCGUAAAGGGCUCGUUGGCGGUUUGUCGCGUCGGGAGUGAAAACAUCGGGCUUAACUCGGUGCUUGCUUUCGAUACGGGCAGACUUGAGGCAUGCAGGGGAGAACGGAAUUCCUGGUGUAGCGGUGAAAUGCGCAGAUAUCAGGAGGAACACCGGUGGCGAAGGCGGUUCUCUGGGCAUGUUCUGACGCUGAGGAGCGAAAGUGUGGGGAGCGAACAGGAUUAGAUACCCGAGUAGUC